Callithrix jacchus (white-tufted-ear marmoset) is the source of this 2196-nucleotide long non-coding RNA. The record is from Ensembl. Lineage: Eukaryota; Metazoa; Chordata; Mammalia; Primates; Cebidae.
AUAUUCUGAUUAUAAAAGGAAUGCAUACUCACUGAAGAACAUUUAGGAAAAAAUAGAAUCAUAAAAAGAAUACAUUCAACAAAUUUGGAUUUUCCUAUGAAGAGAAGCAUGGAGGGAGCUCAUGGAUAAGUGGAUAGGAGCCGGGGCUCCGAAAUCACACCUUUUCAACUGGCCAGGCUUCCGUUACUCAGCCAGUGGGGGUGAUGCCAGUGCCCGUCUCCUGCGAGGCCCCUGAGUGUGAUGGGUGAAGGAAUGCAAGUACCACACUUAGCUCAGCUUAGCCUAGGCUUUGGCACGUGAAGUGCUCGGUAAGCAGUAGAUCCUCUCAUUCACCGUCUCCUCCUGCAUUAGUUUCCCACUGAUCCUAUAAUAAAUUACCACAAACAAAUGCCACAUCCCACAGUCCUGUGGUUAGAAACUCAGCAUGGGUUUCCCUGGGCUAAAAUCAAGGGGUCAGUGCAGCGGGUUUCUUCUGGAGGCUCUAGGGUAAAAUUUGUCCCCUUACCGUUUCCAGCUUCUAGAGGCUGCCUGCCGUCUGUGGCUCCUGGACUUUUUUUACAUCUCCAGAACCAGCAACGGCAGGUCCAGCCCUCCUCCCAUCACAGCUCAUCUCUCCAACCUACUCGUCUGCCUCACUCUUCCAAUUUUGUGGACCCUGUGAUCACAGUGGCCCACCUGGACCAUCCAGGAAAAUCUCCCGACUUGAAGAUCUUUUCGAAGGGGCCUGAAAGGUAGCUCCUUGCACAGCAGGACUGGUUUAUUCGCCUGGAGUAUCCCUCUGAUCCAGCAAGCGUGCAUCCAACAACCCCAGGCUUUGGUCCGGCCUCCUCACACAGGGCUCCUGAGCCUGUGGGCCUCUCCUGCCCCAUGAGCCUUGCUACAAGGAGCUAUGCAUGUGGCUGCCUCACUCUAGGGCACUGGAAAGGAAUGGAGAAAAGAGGGGGUUGCCAAGGAGGGUGCAAGGAAAAUUGUCCACUGAAUUUUGCCACCUACAGAAAAGGCAAGGACUGUACUAUGAUUCUCAUAGUCAGAAGAGUUAUGAUGCACUGCUGAAGGAUAGACGGGCAUUGAGUUCAGAAAACAAAAAGUUGUAUAUGACUGACUGGAUCAAGAACAGAGACCGUCAUGAGUGGGCAGUGGUGCUUUCCACAGAAGGAAGAUGGUCUAAGCAAAGAGGAGACAAACACAAAGCAAAUAUGAGGUCACCUGGCUCCUCAAGGUUUCUUCUUGGGCCAGCCUCACCUGCAACUCUGUGGGUGACCUCCAUCUGCUUGCAUGGCUUCAGUCUGCCAUCUUCCAAAAGGACAGCUCUUGGCUUUCAGACCCAAUUGACCACUGAUAUUUCUGCCUUCUGGUCCCAGGUGAGUUAAAAUCCUGUUCCCAUCUCUUGGCUGCUGUGUGACCAAGUGAGUGAUGGAUCUUUUCAUAGUCAAUCAAACCCGAACUCAAUGCUUUCUCUUCCACUAUAAACCUUGUCCUACUGUAGUCAGUGGAUAUACCUCCUUUUGGCCAUUUGUCCCUGCCAGAAAUCCUGGCGAUGACCUCUGAUGUCAUUCUCUUUUCCCGCCCCCACAUACCAAGUCUGUGUUUCUAACUUCUAAAUACUUCCCCAAACAUGCCCAUCCUCUAUUUCCAUUGCUAUUAUCUUAAUUCUUGCCAUCAUUAGUGCUUCACUGAGGUUAUGGAAAUAGCUUCCAAAUUGAGGUCUCAUCCCUGAGUUGAACCUUGCCCCUUUUAUUGCACACUCACUGAGGCAGCCAGAGUGGUCGUUUACGAAUACAAAUCUGGUCAGGAGGCACUGGCCUGUUGGAGGCAAUUUGGUUGUUCCUGAACCUCUUGACAGGAAGUUUCCGAGAGAACCUACACUGCCCUGCAGUCUUCAGCCUCUCCCCUCGGAACUCCAGGACCCUGGACACACACUCCAGACAAAUCAAAUAUUUUUACAUCUCAAAGAGGGCCUGAUUUCUCUCAUUUUCUCUCUAUACAUGAUUUUCCCUUUGCCUGAAAUAUUCUUUCCUCUACUGGUGUAGCUAAUUCCUGUUCAUUUUCUUCUUCUCAUCUUAGAUUUCCGUUUCUUCAAGACUUCUGAUUCUUUCAGCCUAGAUUAGCUAGCUGCUCCUUUUAUCUGUUCGCCCAGCUGUUACUCAUAUAGAGGUAGAAUGGCCAAAAUCUGGGGUAUCGAAAGAAAUGUAACAC